GAGUUUGAUCCUGGCUCAGGAUGAACGCUGGCGGCGUGCUUAACACAUGCAAGUCGAACGGAGUACCCCUGAAGGAGUUUUCGGACAACUGAUGGGACUACUUAGUGGCGGACGGGUGAGUAACGCGUGAGUAACCUGCCUUGGAGUGGGGAAUAACAGCUGGAAACAGCUGCUAAUACCGCAUAAUAUGUCUGUGUCGCAUGGCACUGGACAUCAAAGAUUUAUCGCUCUGAGAUGGACCCGCGUCUGAUUAGCUAGUUGGCGGGGUAAUGGCCCACCAAGGCGACGAUCAGUAGCCGGACUGAGAGGUUGGCCGGCCACAUUGGGACUGAGACACGGCCCAGACUCCUACGGGAGGCAGCAGUGGGGAAUAUUGGGCAAUGGGCGCAAGCCUGACCCAGCAACGCCGCGUGAAGGAAGAAGGCUUUCGGGUUGUAAACUUCUUUUCUCAGGGACGAAGCAAGUGACGGUACCUGAGGAAUAAGCCACGGCUAACUCCGUGCCAGCAGCCGCGGUAAUACGGAGGAUGCGAGCGUUAUCCGGAUUUAUUGGGUUUAAAGGGUGCGUAGGCGGGCUUUUAAGUCAGCGGUAAAAAUUCGGGGCUCAACCCCGUCCGGCCGUUGAAACUGGGGGCCUUGAGUGGGCGAGAAGAAGGCGGAAUGCGUGGUGUAGCGGUGAAAUGCAUAGAUAUCACGCAGAACCCCGAUUGCGAAGGCAGCCUUCCGGCGCCCUACUGACGCUGAGGCACGAAAGUGCGGGGAUCGAACAGGAUUAGAUACCCUGGUAGUCCGCACAGUAAACGAUGGAUGCCAGCUGUCCGGGCCGAAUGGGGCCUGGGUGGCAAAGCGAAAGCGUUAAGCAUCCCACCUGGGGAGUACGCCGGCAACGGUGAAACUCAAAGGAAUUGACAGGGGCCCGCACAAGCGGAGGAACAUGUGGUUUAAUUCGAUGAUACGCGAGGAACCUUACCCGGGCUCAAACGCGUCAGGGAUCCCCUUCGAAAGGAGGGGAGUCAGCAAUGACCUGGCGCGAGGUGCUGCAUGGUUGUCGUCAGCUCGUGCCGUGAGGUGUCGGCUUAAGUGCCAUAACGAGCGCAACCCCUACCGACAGUUGCUAACUGGUGAAGCAGAGGACUCUGUCGGGACUGCCGGCGCAAGCUGCGAGGAAGGCGGGGAUGACGUCAAAUCAGCACGGCCCUUACGUCCGGGGCGACACACGUGUUACAAUGGCAGGUACAGCGGGAAGCCACCGGGCGACCGGGCGCGGAACCCGAAAACCUGUCUCAGUUCGGAUCGGAGUCUGCAACCCGACUCCGUGAAGCUGGAUUCGCUAGUAAUCGCGCAUCAGCCACGGCGCGGUGAAUACGUUCCCGGGCCUUGCACUCACCGCCCGUCAAG
This 1397-nucleotide ribosomal RNA is filed under the name uncultured bacterium. RNAcentral's name for it is "bacterial SSU rRNA". It matches the Rfam family "Bacterial small subunit ribosomal RNA". The record is from RNAcentral.